UGGCGCCGCCGCGUUCCCUCUUCCUCCUUGAAACCGCGUUCACCAGAAAGUGCAGAGUAUGCCUUUUAUCAUUUACAAUGACGUCAUCAGGCCACCGCUGCUGCAAAGCAGGUGCGGUCAAACAGGAGCCAACAGCAUCACUUUGACCGACGGUCGCUGUACAGUUAACCUGUAGCUGUCUCAGCAACAUUAAGGCAAAGGACAUCAUCCACAUGUUUAGUAAAAGAUGUCUACUUCAAUUGUCUAGGUCUGACUGUUGGUUAUCUUGCAGGUCUGAUGGUAGAGAUGAGGUUAAACAUCUCCACAGGAGGAUGCGUUAAGUGAAUGACUGGUGUGAUGGCCUAUAGUUGCUUAAUUCGCAGAGAUUGGCUGAAUGAACCCGUGUGCGGUCUCUAAGAUGCUACAAUAUACUGGCAGGAAGUCACCUAAAAGAUGCUGUGCCUCCAGAGAUGCUUAGUCCCUGUAAGAACCGUCGGUGCAAGUUGGGGAAACUUGAGCUGGAGAAUUCAGGCCCAGGUACGUGGUCUUCACUAUGACUUGGGAUGCUUGAGCUGUUGUAUCGGAAUUCUGAGUGGAUCAGACUUUGCCACUUGUUUUGCCCAGGUGCAUGGUCUUCACUAUGGUUUAAAGGAUGCAAGAUGAAAGCUUCAGCUGUCUGACGUCCAAGUGGACCAGAGUUGGCACUUUUUCUUUGCUUGUCAUGUGACCCAAUUAGACUAUUGGCCUAAUAUAUUGGUGUUUCCAUGUAUGUUUUCUGUUUAAUAAAAGCU
Paramisgurnus dabryanus is the source of this 770-nucleotide long non-coding RNA. RefSeq lists it as uncharacterized. NCBI's taxonomy places the organism in Eukaryota, Metazoa, Chordata, Actinopteri, Cypriniformes, Cobitidae. The record is from RefSeq and is a predicted model, not a curated record.